AAAUGGCCAGAUAUUUUCAAUCCAAUUAUAUUAAAAAAAUAUUAAGGUAACUUGUAAAUGAAGACAAGAAGAGUUUUAGGAGAAUGGAGUCUCUUUUCUAGAACUAUUUUAAUUCACGUACUCUAUCUAGUAGCAAUUAUCUUCAAGGAAGACAAUAAUGCUUGCGGUAUAAUACUGCUUAAAACUUUAUUCUAUCAUCUUCAAUUGGUAAUGAUGAUAACUUCCAAUUUAAGCCCUUCAACAAUAAUUCCUGUCUUAGAACCUCAUUCUUCCUUUUUCGUCUUCUGGACUUUAGAGAUAGACAUUAUACUACAAGAAAUCUGGUUACAUUUUUGACACAUCAAUAAGAAAACUAAGGAAAUAUAUCUUGCCUUUAAGACGCCAAUCAGCAGUCAAGGGAAGAUGCUGAGAUAGAAUUAGCCCCAUCUAUAGUGACACAGCCUAUUGCCAUAUAAGAAAGCAUAUAGACAUAUAUUUUUUGCUUGAAAUGAUUCAUGAGUUAGUGAAUUGGUGGUGCCAUAUUUUAGCAAAAAUCAUCUGCUGUAAGUCUUGAAUAGUGUUUGAAUCCUUUUCACUCCAGUCUCUCCCUCUUUUCUUUCAGUGGAUGUUUUAGGCCAGGCUCUACAUACUUCUUUUCUCUUGGAUUAUUAUAUUUUCAACGCAAAAUUUAAUGAUAGGAGAUUUUACCAAGAUUUUUAUAAUCUUCUUAACAUGCUACGAGACUAACUAUUUUUAAAUGAAUAAAUAAUUUAAGUUGGAGAAAAAGGAGCAGCCUGCAAAGCUUAAUUCCUGAUAUAAGACGGGAAAUAAAACAUUACUCACCAUCUAAAAGAGCUUUAUAAGACGGGAAAUAAA
RNAcentral lists this unclassified non-coding RNA (855 nucleotides) under Hevea brasiliensis (rubber tree). The record is from RNAcentral. Lineage: Eukaryota; Viridiplantae; Streptophyta; Magnoliopsida; Malpighiales; Euphorbiaceae.